RNAcentral lists this ribosomal RNA (447 nucleotides) under Blastocystis sp. Its description in RNAcentral is "SSU rRNA". It matches the Rfam family "Eukaryotic small subunit ribosomal RNA", at positions 459 to 919 of the family's 1831-position model. The record is from RNAcentral. Lineage: Eukaryota; Bigyra; Opalinata; Blastocystidae.
GGGAGGUAGUGACAAUAAAUCACAAUGCGGGACUAUCAGUCUUGCAAUUGGAUUGAGAACAAUGUACAACUCUUAUCGAUAAGCCAUUGGAGGGCAAGUCUGGUGCCAGCAGCCGCGGUAAUUCCAGCUCCAAUAGCGUAUAUUAACGUUGUUGCAGUUAAAAAGCUCGUAGUUGAAGUGUGGGUGAUCGCUGUUGUGAGACUUCGGUCUCUCGACAGUAAGUCACCCCCUUCCAGUAUCCAGUAGUGGGUAUUCAGUUACUUACUACUGUGUGUUGGUCGUUUACUGUGAGAAAAUUAGAGUGUUCAAAGCAGGCGUUUGCUUGAAUAGAUUAGCAUGGAAUAAUAAUUGAAGGCUUUCGUGUUCGAUUUGAUUGGUUUGUUCAUGGAAGCAAGGUUAAAAGGAACAGUUGGGGGUAUUCAUAUUCACUAGUUAGAGGUGAAAUUC